AUUGAACGCUGGCGGCAUGCUUUACACAUGCAAGUCGAACGGCAGCACGGGUGCUUGCACCUGGUGGCGAGUGGCGAACGGGUGAGUAAUACAUCGGAACGUGCCCAGUCGUGGGGGAUAACGUAGCGAAAGCUACGCUAAUACCGCAUACGAUCUACGGAUGAAAGCGGGGGACUCGCAAGAGCCUCGCGCGAUUGGAGCGGCCGAUGGCAGAUUAGGUAGUUGGUGGGGUAAAGGCUCACCAAGCCUGCGAUCUGUAGCUGGUCUGAGAGGACGACCAGCCACACUGGAACUGAGACACGGUCCAGACUCCUACGGGAGGCAGCAGUGGGGAAUUUUGGACAAUGGGCGCAAGCCUGAUCCAGCCAUUCCGCGUGCAGGAUGAAGGCCUC
RNAcentral lists this ribosomal RNA (392 nucleotides) under uncultured bacterium. RNAcentral's name for it is "bacterial SSU rRNA". It matches the Rfam family "Bacterial small subunit ribosomal RNA", at positions 30 to 418 of the family's 1533-position model. The record is from RNAcentral.